GGUGCCCUGCCCUUUGUCCUUCCCACUCGCCCCGCCCGUGGUUCCCCUGGGCCUGGGUCCGCCCGCGACGGCCCCCAAGCUCCCACUGGGGCCUGGAGGACAGAGUUUACCGGAGAGACCCCCUUGUUGGAGAUCUCCCGCUGAAGGACGCGGCCGCGUCGCUGAAUUUGCCCGGAAGGGGGAGUAGGAGUUCUCCUGCCUGUCACUCUCAGUCAAGCCUCGUGAAUUUCUCUCGUUCCCUUCUACACGCGCCCUCCGCAGUCUCUUCAAAUUGUCAUCCCACCCUGACAGCUGCACUGCAUCAGUGGUGACAGGUCCAGGAACGCAGGCAGUGAAAAGAAGAGAUUGGACCUGGAAAAGAAACUUUAUGAACAUAAUCAAUCUGAUAUAUGCAGCCUCUCAUUAAAAUCAAAUUCCACUGGGAGAAAUUACACACUUGCACCGUGAUUGGGAAGAACAGGCCGCGUUCACUCAACCACUGAUGGAACUGGAGGGUCAUCAGACGAGCAGGUAGUGAUCUCAGCUGGUCUUGAACCGCAAACUGGCUCCUGGCUGCAGCUCCAGCCUCAGUUCAGAUCUUCUGUUGUUAGCGAGUGGCUUGCGCAUGCGUGGUUCAGUCCGUCAGAAAGGUUAAGGAGAUGUAACCACCAGCCAUCCUGAAACUGACCAAAUGAGGCACUCAAGGGAGAUGUAACCACCAGCCAUCCUGAAACUGACCAAAUGAGGCACUCAAGGGAGAUGUAACCACCAGCCAUCCUGAAACUGACCAAGCCUCACCACAAGAGCUAUGCCCAUGACCUUUGCUUUAUUUUUAAUGCAAAGAUCUCUCCAGGAGGAGCUUAGGCCUCAUUAUGUGGAAGCAUGUUCUCCAACUGAGCCUGUGCUAGUGAAUACCCCCACCUCUCCCUUUUGAAUAUUAUUCCCCAACUGAAAUAAAAGUUCCUGCUUCCCUUAGUUCUGGGACGCCAUGACUUUGGAAAUGAUUCCUCACGGCCUCCUAUUUGCUGCAAAUACAGUUUACUUUGUGAGACAAC
Molecule: long non-coding RNA, 1034 nt
Organism: Diceros bicornis minor
Lineage: Eukaryota; Metazoa; Chordata; Mammalia; Perissodactyla; Rhinocerotidae
Exons: 5
Source: RefSeq, a predicted model, not a curated record